RNAcentral lists this ribosomal RNA (1247 nucleotides) under Candidatus Phytoplasma sacchari. Its description in RNAcentral is "bacterial SSU rRNA". It matches the Rfam family "Bacterial small subunit ribosomal RNA", at positions 153 to 1398 of the family's 1533-position model. The record is from RNAcentral. Lineage: Bacteria; Bacillati; Mycoplasmatota; Mollicutes; Acholeplasmatales; Acholeplasmataceae.
GAAACAGUUGCUAAGACUGGAUAGGAAAAUAAAAAGGCAUCUUUUUAUUUUUAAAAGACCUUUUUCGGAAGGUAUGCUUAAAGAGGGGCUUGCGUCACAUUAGUUAGUUGGCAGGGUAAAGGCCUACCAAGACUAUGAUGUGUAGCUGGACUGAGAGGUUGAACAGCCACAUUGGGACUGAGACACGGCCCAAACUCCUACGGGAGGCAGCAGUAGGGAAUUUUCGGCAAUGGAGGAAACUCUGACCGAGCAACGCCGCGUGAACGAUGAAGUAUUUCGGUAUGUAAAGUUCUUUUAUUGAAGAAGAAAAAAUAGUGGAAAAACUAUCUUGACGAUAUUCAAUGAAUAAGCCCCGGCAAACUAUGUGCCAGCAGCCGCGGUAAUACAUAGGGGGCGAGCGUUAUCCGGAAUUAUUGGGCGUAAAGGGUGCGUAGGCGGUUUAAUAAGUCUAUAGUUUAAUUUCAGUGCUUAACACUGUCCUGCUAUAGAAACUAUUAGACUAGAGUGAGAUAGAGGCAAGUGGAAUUCCAUGUGUAGCGGUAAAAUGCGUAAAUAUAUGGAGGAACACCAGAGGCGUAGGCGGCUUGCUGGGUCUUUACUGACGCUGAGGCACGAAAGCGUGGGGAGCAAACAGGAUUAGAUACCCUGGUAGUCCACGCCGUAAACGAUGAGUACUAAGUGUCGGGAUUACUCGGUACUGAAGUUAACACAUUAAGUACUCCGCCUGAGUAGUACGUACGCAAGUAUGAAACUUAAAGGAAUUGACGGGACUCCGCACAAGCGGUGGAUCAUGUUGUUUAAUUCGAAGAUACACGAAAAACCUUACCAGGUCUUGACAUACUCUGCAAAGCUAUAGCAAUAUAGUGGAGGUUAUCAGGGAUACAGGUGGUGCAUGGUUGUCGUCAGCUCGUGUCGUGAGAUGUUAGGUUAAGUCCUAAAACGAGCGCAACCCUUGUCAUUAGUUGCCAGCAUGUCAUGAUGGGCACUUUAAUGAGACUGCCAAUGAAAAAUUGGAGGAAGGUGAGGAUCACGUCAAAUCAUCAUGCCCCUUAUGAUCUGGGCUACAAACGUGAUACAAUGGCUGUUACAAAGAGUAGCUGAAACGCAAGUUUAUAGCCAAUCUCAUAAAAGCAGUCUCAGUUCGGAUUGAAGUCUGCAACUCGACUUCAUGAAGUUGGAAUCGCUAGUAAUCGCGAAUCAGCAUGUCGCGGUGAAUACGUUCACGGGGUUUGUACACACCGUGCGUC